Long non-coding RNA from Mesocricetus auratus (golden hamster), 5302 nucleotides. RefSeq lists it as uncharacterized. The record is from RefSeq and is a predicted model, not a curated record. NCBI's taxonomy places the organism in Eukaryota, Metazoa, Chordata, Mammalia, Rodentia, Cricetidae. The transcript has 3 exons.
GAGAAACAGAGUUCGUGCCUUUGAUCCCAGCACUAGAGCGUAUAUAAGAAGCUCGGUGUCUCAGGCUGGCAAUUAGUCUCCAGCCACGUUGAGGACAGCGUUGCCCCAAACUUGGUAGAGGUGAGGGCUACCGGCCUGACUGCUUUGCUCUUCUUCAGCUUGAACCCUAAUAUUCGUCACUGGGUUCUUAUUAUUCACGCUACAGAGGUGGAGUGGGAUAACGAUGAAAACACAUUGUAAACAUAUAUGAAACUGUCAAAGAACACAUUCUAUUUAAUUUUUAAAAGAGACAAACUGAUAAAGGCUUUGAAAUGAGCCCUGCCAUUUUUUUUAUAAAUGACAGUUUCUAGAUCUACUUGCCUCAUCUGUAGGAAGGAAUAGGUUUAGUGAGGAUGAAAUAAAGCAAUACCUUGCAAAAAUAAUUCACCACCAUUGAUGAGAGUCUACCUUAGACUGCCGGUCUGUGGGGUAUUUUUUGUUAGUAACUGAUGAGGGAGGUCCCAGGCCACUGUGGGUGGUCCUGGGCUGUGUAAGAAAGCAGACUGAGAAAACCACGGAGAACAAGCCGGAAGCAGCACCCCUCCAUGACCUCUGCUUUAGAUCCAGCCCCGGGUUCCCGCUUGAGUUCUGCCCUCGUUCCCCCUCGGCGGUGGACUCUGAUUGGGUCAUGGCGGGCUCACAGCAUGGUGAUCACGGCCUUGGCCCUCAUGUCUCCACAUUCUGCCUGCUUUUGUCCCUGCUCUGCUUUCACUGUGGGCAUUUAUUGUCUGCUGCUGGUGAUAGGCCCACCCGGCCCCACCCCAUCCCCCAUCGGUCAUACUUUACAGCUUCUUUCAACUACUGGUUUGUUCCUAAAUUGGAUGUCAGAUUAUAAAUUUUAUGUUGUUGAGUGCCAGAUUUAAUUUGUUUCUAGUAUCUUUGGGGCACACUGCGAGACUUAGAAUCAGUUGGUUCCCUUCUAGGCUUAAGUCCAGCUAAUUCGGCAACACACUCUACAAACACUACUAGGUGCUCUGUACCUUGGGAGAUCUGUUUAUUACAGCUGGUACAGGUUUUUUGUUUUUUGUUUUUUUCUUGCCUCUGAGACACAGGGUUCCAUCUCUUCUUUUCCUGUGGAUUUUCCCAAAAACUUUGGGCAGUUUCCUCAUAUAAAUUCACCAAUCAGCACUCAGUCCCAGAUGCAAGAUAGUUUCUCUACAGAUACAGCUCUAUCUUCAAACUAAUUCCCCAGUGUUCUCUCGGAUGCUGUUGGCUUCAAGAAGCAUCCAUCUUUUCCACUCAGCAAGGCGGCAGGGGUGACACAAAGUGGAGGAGUCAGCCAAGAGCCUGGGGUUCCUGUGGGACACAUGCAGACCUUUGGGUGUCUCUCUUGGACCUCUGCUGGGGACUCAAAGGCAGCAGAUGGGCCACCAAGGAUGUGGCUGUUGGCACAAACCUUCCCCUCAAAGGAGAUAAGAGACAGUUUAUUCUGGACCAUGGCCAAGAACACAGAUGUAGGUUACCCCAAAUUCCAAGCUCCAAAGUGGUAAAGAUGACAUUUUUGUGGUAACAGAAACACGAAUCCAUGGGUGCUUUAAACACACUGGUGGGAUGUCAAAGCAAAGCUGGGCAAAUUCAGCUACAGGCCUCAGUGCUGUCUGACAGCAUUCGCAGUCACUGAGCUGAUUGGAGACUGGGGAUCUGCUUUUGCAUUCCCAGGGUUUCCCUGAUAGUCAUAAAGAUUUAGGUCAUAUGCAGAGGUGGGUAAUAAAUGGCUCUUAAUGGGGCCAAAGAUUCCCCAAGAUAACUUGGCAGUUGAUUUGCAACAUUCCAACCUUUCCACAUUGUUAAGGCUCUAAUCAGCCUUUCCAAAUGUAUGUUUCUUUCUAGAAACUUUCCUUCACAUGGGCCAUUCUGGUUAAAAUAAUAACAGGGCGGGUGAUACAGUGAUGCUGUUAGGAAAUGGAUAUAAACAAUGUAAGUGGGAAAUGCAGUGGCGGGUUACUUAGGACUUUCAUGGUGGCCUGCAUUUCUGAGCUUUGUGUUCUAGCACGAAGAUCCAUUGGAGGCUUCCUACGUGCAUUGGAAAGAUGAAGCUUGAGUUUGAGAAGUCUUGGUCUGGCCUUGGAGGGAGCUGAAGCUGUGGGAUGAGUCAGACAAAGUGGCCGCAGUGAUCAGCCCAGGGAUGGAGAGACCCAGGGAACAUUUGGUGCCUGCAGAACCUAAAGCACUUGCAAGAGCCGGGAAAGGAUCGCAAAUUAGCCUCAAAUAAGGACAAAUGCCCACUCAGCAUGGAGAGGCACUCUUGAAUCCCUUGGCUCCCUGGUUGCUUUAUUGUCCAUGUUUUCAGCUUGGCAGGCUGCCUGGGGGUUGAGGGGCUUCCAGGAAGCUGUGCUCAUUUCUGUUUUCAGUUCAACAGCACACGAGCUAAUUGUGAAGAAAGAAAGAAAAGGACCCAGAGGGUCAUGGAGAGACACCCUGAAAGGAAACAGCAAUAGAGCUAAUAGGGAAUGAGAGACGGAAACAAAGGAUGGUAGGAACGGCGCAGUUAAACACAAAGGCACCGAAUUCCCAUGCAGCAUGACCUUAGUGGGUCCUUUACCCGCUUCUCCUGGGCUGCUCUGACUGGAAUUCUAUGCUGUAUUGAUACCUAAGGAAAAAUGCCUCUUUGCUUAGAUUCACAAAGGCUUUCAACCUGCAAGACUGUUCUGACUAAUGGGGCAGCUCUUCCUGGAAGCCAACAUAGAGACAGUUCAAGGCACACUUGGGGUGCAGCAGGCAAAAACAUGGAAAGCAGGGUGAAGUCUGCAGUGGAUCCGGAAUGAUUUACCCUUGACUGCAGUCCUGAUCUCUUCUGUUUCUGACGGCCUUUGAGCACAACACCCUCUUUCUUUCGGUUUUUCCUAACCCUUCAAGACCAGAUCUUCCUGUCUUUUCUUUCUUUUGGAAGGUUUGGGGAAAGGGCCUCCAUUAGUCAGGGCUGUGCCUAUUUAUAAAACUCCCCCAGUGGUUGCUUUCCUAAACACUUGCUCUCCCCAUCUUUGUAGCUGAUCUGUCCUUCACACAGGCCCUAGACUGAAAGGCCCAGGAAUCACACAGCUAGGCUCCAAGCAUCGGUGUGACAUAGAAACACCCACUGCCCCUAAAACAGUAAGGAGGGAGCGUCACUCUUCUGUGUGCACAAGACUAUCUCUCCAGUAAACUGCUGUCCCCCAAAAGAUAACCCCCCUUACCGCCACUCUGGAACUCUAAACCUGAAAAUUGGUAGCCUUGGGUGAUUAAUUCAUUCAUAAAUUGUGUGUACUCUGCAAUAAAACUUCACACACUCUUCUCAGCCACAAACAUGUGAACUCCUGAAGGAAUACCAGUGUUUUACCCUCCUUCAGCUGGGUGACAUGAUUUGGACUGGACCUUAGAGCCAAGUUGAUCUCAGAGUUGGGCUCAGUUUUGAGGUAGCACUAGGCUUCUGGAAGGGUGUGGGGACUGCCAAGAAACUAGGGUGUCCAGGCUUCAAAAAAUAUUCCUGAAUGCCCCCAAAAGGAGAAGUCAGAAAAUCCCAUUGUUCUCUUCAAUUCUGUGACCUCAGCUCUCUCCAUAAUGCAACUGAUGACAUCCACUGUGGUGAGUGAGGCGCCACCAGAGGCCCUCAGCUGCUGAGGACAGCAGGGGCCAUGGUCCUGCUCCAGAAGAAAGGACAGCACUGGACAGCAGGGAAGAAGGCAUUACGAGGCAGGGGGCAUUCCUGCUCUGCUACAAUAUUUUUCACAGCCAACGCUAUGCCAAUGUUUGUACUUGCCAGAAGAAUAUUGAUUUCUUAAGCCCUCCCUCUCAUCUUUAAGACUGAAGUUUCUCAUUAGACCACAAGGUGGCAGAUUAAUAGCAGGGGAAAGAAAUCCAAGCUCAAAACCAACAGAGAAAUGGUUCCAACUGAAGCAAAAUGUAGGAGUGAUCAAAGAAGAUUCUGUCUCCACGCUGCAUGUAAGGCUCCUUCCUUGAUCAAAAGUUACAUCUGCUAAACAAACUCACAUCCUUUUCAUCGUAUUAUCCCUUUGAAGCAUGUGGGAGACUCCUUUACAGACUUACUAAUGUUUCUGAACACAGUUUACUGGUAUCGCCCCGAUGAAUGCCUGUCCUAUCAGCUCUAGGUUCAACACCCACCAGAAAGGUCACGCUUUUGACCGCCAUCAAUCACUUGAACAAUUACCACUGGAGGCUUCCUUUUCACACGCAUUCACUGUCACAGCUGAGCCAUGGCCCAUCGUGAGAAACUGACGACCUUUGGGAUUUCUGAAACAACUCCAACUGUUCCACUGUCUCCUGGGCAUCCAGCUUUGUUCCCCCCCUCCUGCUGACGUCACUGCCACCUCCUUGGAUGUCAGAACUGACAGUGACUUCAUUGGCUGUGAGAUGACGUGUGCAUUCCUGAAUGUGGCCAGUGGGGGCCUUUCCCACUUGGCUCACAACCUGUGCAGACACUUGCUAACUCAACAGGACUGACAUUACUGCCGGGUCAAGUGUACCUCCUUUUUCAUCUGUCCGGGUUUUCUCGUAUCGUCUCCUCUCUCUGGGCUGCUCAUCUGCAUCUGUGUCUGGCAAGCAUGCAGUCCAUGCAGCGCUUUGAUCAACACUCUUAGGUAGACAGCACCCUCCUACCUGACCCUAUGCUAAGCUGGCUUGCAUGGGACUCAUCCCUUAUAAACACUAGAUUUCCACAUGUCUGCUUUUCCCACUAAAUGUCAGCUCUUUCACAAAAUAUUCAAGGACUGGGGUGGGUCCUGGCCAAAAUGUUAUUCCAAGUAAAUAUACAGAGGACAUCAGGAAGGGACUACAAUGUUGCAUCUGGUAUAUAGGUAGCACCCACAAGGUUACAAGGCUUUGACUGAAAACGAUGGUGUCAGGUGGAGAAAGCAUUGACUGGUGUUGGUCUCUUUCUCACCAAAGACCUGCAGCGAGGAGAGGCAGCACAGUGGCUCCCCUGCACCCAGCGGGAACACCAGUCUGUAAGAGCAGGGAGAGGCUCGGUGGCUCUGUACUCCAACGAAGAAUGGCAGGGGGCACUCUGUUUGCAAACACUGAUCCCCUUCCCGCACCUGCCUGCUUUCUCCUGUGCCCUGUAUCUGCUUGCCAAGACACAGUAGACAGAGACACCCCUGCAUCUCAGCUUUCAAUAAUCCAGGACUCUCUUAACUUGGGGGUGGUGUCAACAGAUCAGCUAUUACAGUCAUCAGUUGAACUAAGUGUAGAAAUAUUCUGUGAUGUCUGAGGACAAAAUCAGGAAAAUUAUACUGAAUGAUGCUAAAAUAUCAUUAAAAGUUGAAAUAUC